Molecule: ribosomal RNA, 496 nt
Filed under: uncultured bacterium
Lineage: Bacteria
Description: partial 16S ribosomal RNA
Rfam family: Bacterial small subunit ribosomal RNA
Source: RNAcentral
GAUGAACGCUGGCGGCGUGCCUAAUACAUGCAAGUCGAGCGAACAGACGAGGAGCUUGCUCCUCUGACGUUAGCGGCGGACGGGUGAGUAACACGUGGAUAACCUACCUAUAAGACUGGGAUAACUUCGGGAAACCGGAGCUAAUACCGGAUAAUAUAUUGAACCGCAUGGUUCAAUAGUGAAAGACGGUUUUGCUGUCACUUAUAGAUGGAUCCGCGCCGCAUUAGCUAGUUGGUAAGGUAACGGCUUACCAAGGCAACGAUGCGUAGCCGACCUGAGAGGGUGAUCGGCCACACUGGAACUGAGACACGGGCCAGACUCCGACGGGAGGCAGCAGUAGGGAAUCUUCCGCAAGGGGCGAAAGCCUGACGGAGCAACGCCGCGUGAGUGAUGAAGGUCUUCGGAUCGUAAAACUCUGUUAUUAGGGAAGAACAAAUGUGUAAGUAACUAUGCACGUCUUGACGGGACCUAAUCAGAAAGCCACGGCUAACUACGU